GAACCACGUUACUGUAAGAUCAUUAC
RNAcentral lists this non-coding RNA (26 nucleotides) under Cricetulus griseus (Chinese hamster). Lineage: Eukaryota; Metazoa; Chordata; Mammalia; Rodentia; Cricetidae. The record is from RNAcentral.